This 574-nucleotide ribosomal RNA is filed under the name uncultured bacterium. Its description in RNAcentral is "bacterial SSU rRNA". The stretch from base 77 to 574 matches the Rfam family "Bacterial small subunit ribosomal RNA", at positions 1 to 509 of the family's 1533-position model. The record is from RNAcentral.
AAGGGAGCAAAAAGCUGGUACCGGGCCCCCCCUCGAGGUCGACGGUAUCGAUAAGCUUGAUAUCGAAUUCAACUCGCUCGCCCAGAGUUUGAUCAUGGCUCAGGACGAACGCUGGCGGCGUGCUUAACACAUGCAAGUCGAGCGAGAAAGCUACCUUCGGGUAGUGAGUAAAGCGGCGGACGGGUGAGUAACGCGUGGGUAUAUACCCUUAAGUCUGGGAUAACUUCUCGAAAGGGAAGUUAAUACCAGAUGAUCUCCUUUUGGAGCAAAGGUGGCUUUUAUGCUAUCACUUAAGGAUUGGGCCGCGUCCCAUUAGCUAGUUGGUGAGAUAACAGCUCACCAAGGCAACAAUGGGUAGCCGACCUGAGAGGGUGAUCGGCCACACUGGGACUGAGACACGGCCCAGACUCCUACGGGAGGCUGCAGUGGGGAAUCUUUCGCAAUGGACGCAAGUCUGACGGAGCAACGCCGCGUGAGUGAAGAAGGUCUUCGGAUCGUAAAGGUCUGUCUUUUGGGAAGCAUACGUUAAUUGUGAAUAACAGUUAGGGUCGCUGUCUCGUUCAACUUGCAUGUG